Molecule: long non-coding RNA, 2051 nt
Organism: Papaver somniferum (opium poppy)
Lineage: Eukaryota; Viridiplantae; Streptophyta; Magnoliopsida; Ranunculales; Papaveraceae
Exons: 9
Source: RefSeq, a predicted model, not a curated record
GGCUACUGGACUCUCACCAUUGAGGGUGCAGCACUCCAUCGCUUCGCCUAGCAGCACGAAGCUUGUAUUGCUCUCCCACAACCCCGUUUUCACGGUUUAGACUGCUCCCAUUUCGCUCGCUGCUACUACGGGAAUCGCUUUCAUUAUUUUUCUUUCUUCGCACCUCUUCUCACAGAACUCACUCACCUCUUUGUCUUGGUUUUUUCUCUUUAUGCAAAUUUAAAUAUUAACUCUCGAUCGACCUUACAUCAUCUUCUUCUUUUACAGUAAAUCCAGAUAUGGAAGGUGAAAUAGAAGUCAAUACCUCCAUUAUCUUCUUCUUCUACAAUGGAUCCAGAUCCAGAUAAAGCCAAACUCACCUCUUUCUCUUGUUUUUUCAAUGAUAAAAUCCUUCUUGCGGUUAAUUGGGGGUUGCGUUUUACUUCAAUCGGUUCCUAUUGUGAUUCCUGAUGAUGAUGGCGUGGUGGUGGUGAUGAAGUAGAAGAUGCCUCAGUUUGCUAAUAAGAUUGCUCGUUACAUUCUGUUUAGUGAGUUCGGGUUUUAGGUGAUGAAGUAGGAGACUCAGUUUGCGAAUAAAGUUGGUGCGUUUGGUGAUGAAAUCACUAUUUUUCGUGAUAAGAGCAAGAUUACUGUUAACUCCUACUACCCUUUAUCACCAGGUGGUUUAGCUUUGAAGGCAGUUGAGACAAACACGUCAUCUCUGAAAGAAUCAUCCAUGGGUGGCAGCUGAUUUGGGUUCACAUUUGAGUGUUUUGGUCCACCAGCAUAUAAGUGAAAAUCUGAUGGGAGUAGAAUACUACCUUUGAGAUGAAUGAGGUAUCUUUGCCUCCAUGGAGGCCCGACCUUUAAACAACAAGAUCCCGGAAGUGGACUUUACCAGCAUUACCAAGAAUUACCCCUCAUCUACUAGAGUUUCAGGUGUAUCUUUAUUUGAAUUUGAUGGUGAAGGGAUAGAUAUAUGGUUCCUUCGCUAACGACACUGUUGAUUAAUUCAGGAGUUUUAUUUGGAAGCUUUGGAGAUGGCUAAUCAACAUGCUGAAAUUCAACAGUUGUAUCAUUAAAUGAAUCUUCACAUCAGGUUUUAAACUCGGGUCUGCGAAACAUAUAGCAGAAGCAAUAGUGAAGAAGUACGGUGUCGUAAGGUUGACUUAUGAAGUUGAAGGACUAGCUGUGCUGAAAACAACCCAGAUAAGUCCUGCGCUGUGCUCAGGGGUGUGUUGUACUUGAUAGACACGAGGCUCACAGCAAAGGAAAGUGAGUUCUUAGCUUCAAGAACUCCUUUAGUUUUGGUUCUUAAGAUUUACUCUUAAUAACACUAUGUUGAAGAGUUUCUUCUUGGAAGUAUUCAUGCCUUGUAGAAUACUUUAGUGGGGUAUUCGUGCAUUGUAUAUAGAAUACUUCAGUGGGUAUAUGUAAAGAUUUUAUUGCAAAAAUAGUUGAAUCUGAAUGCUAUUGUGGAUUCCAGAGGUUACUUGUUGAAGACGGAUUUGAUCAUAUAAAAGUGACAUUUGUAAGGUAUAUCAAAGCUCAACAAAGAAGUUUGAGGUUUGUUGCCAGCAAACAUGUUCCAUCUCCUAAUUUGGCUAUUACAUAGUUUUGUUUCUGAAUGCAACUUGCUUUUCUUGGUAUGUCAUUGAUAAGAGAUAGGGAUUGAGAAACACGUAUAAUGGACAAGCUCCGCUCGGACUCCGGUUUUAAACUAGGGUUUGCGGAACAUACAUCAGAAGCAAUAGUGAUCUCCAAGGAAGCAUUGGUAUUUGGUUUUGGAAUCUCCAAUAUGAUGAGACCCAAACAAGAAUGCUUAUGAAGAUCCAUUUGUCUUCACUGGAACCGCGAAUGAAGCUCCUUCAAUUUCGGAAACUGUUGGAGAUGAUGAGUAUUGGAAUGGAGAUAUUCAGGUAAUAAUGCUGGUUUUCACACUUGUUUAGUGGCUUUUCUUGUAAGAUUUAUAUUUUUCAGAACUCAAGAUUUUGAUUCUUUUUAUGUAAUUUGAACCCAAUAAAACAAUGAAUGUUAAAUUGAAUGAUUAUGUGUGUGUAAGUUUAAUUUGA